RNAcentral lists this transfer RNA (69 nucleotides) under Anabropsis (Apteranabropsis) sp. QS-2017. RNAcentral's name for it is "Apteranabropsis sp. QS-2017 tRNA-Gln". The record is from RNAcentral. Lineage: Eukaryota; Metazoa; Arthropoda; Insecta; Orthoptera; Anostostomatidae. RNAcentral also lists the same sequence under 1 other name.
UAUAUUUUAGUGUAUGAUGCACAAAAGUUUUUGAUACUUUCAGGAAUAGUUUAAAUCUAUUAAAUAUAA